UACAGAGGGUGCGAGCGUUAAUCGGAAUUACUGGGCGUAAAGCGGGUGCAGGUGGUGCACUAAGUCAUAUGUGAAAGCCCUGGGCUUAACCUAGGAACAGCAUAUGAUACUGGUGAACUAGAGUAUAUGAGAGGGAAGUAGAAUUCCAGGUGUAGCGGUGAAAUGCGUAGAGAUCUGGAGGAAUACCGAUGGCGAAGGCAGCUUUCUGGCAAAAUACUGACACUCAGACCCGAAAGCGUGGGUAGCAAACAGG
Molecule: ribosomal RNA, 253 nt
Filed under: uncultured Moraxella sp.
Lineage: Bacteria; Pseudomonadati; Pseudomonadota; Gammaproteobacteria; Moraxellales; Moraxellaceae
Description: partial 16S ribosomal RNA
Rfam family: Bacterial small subunit ribosomal RNA
Source: RNAcentral